GUGUAAUGACUGAACUGCGCACUCUGGCAUCGCUAACUUGUAUCACAAUUUAUUGGAGACUCUGAAAAAAGUCAUGAAACGUUAUGCUGAUACUAAGAUUGCUUCUCACAUUGAAGAAAAAAAUACAUGUAAUUUCCAGGAACUGUUGUCAGAAUCAAUAAAGGGUUUUUGCAAUUCACUUUGAGAAGUCAUGGGAUGGGGACAGCUGUUGCUCUUGUUCCAUUUGAACAAAGGUAAAAAUUGCAAAAGAUAAAUGAUAUUUGAAUAAUAUUCCAGUAGACUUUGGAUUUAUUUUGUUUUGCUGACUUUCCUUUGUUUUGGGAUAGUUUGUUUAUAAACAUUGUUUGUAUUUCCAACUUUUCUUUUACCAUAGAUGGGCUAAUGAAAUGCAGUGCACCAAACUUCUGCUGGAUCAGAUGCAGUCCUCCAAAGUUUUGAAAUCACUAGCUUGGCGUUAUGACUUUCCUAAUUGAUUUGGAGAAAAGUUACCAACUUUUGACAGGAUACACCUGACCAUGUCUUACUCAAUCUAGCAUUUACAAUCACACGAUGGAAAAAGUUGAGAGCAAGUCUGAAGAGGUGUGCAUUUGUAUGCCUUUUUUGUAUGUGGAGGAAGGAAUGGCCCAUAUUACCAUUUGAAAGAUGAACAUUGGUCCUCAGCAGCAAUCUUGAAAAGGAUCCUCCUUAGAUGGAAGUUGAAAAUAUAGGUUAGUAUUUCAGAGGAUACAUUUAUGAAAGAAUCAUGGUACACUGGUUUUCUUGGAUGGCAACAUUUACAUGGACCCCAUGGUACAGCAGAGGAGGGAAAGGAGAGUAACCACUCAUUCAGGCCAUAUCAUGUAUCGUCACACACUUGUUUCCAUCUUACAGAAACAGACAGGCUUCCCAGGAAGUGGAACCCUAACUUUGAGCAAACCAAGAACUGAACUCAUAGUACUGGAAUAAAUGUUACAUUUUUUUUCAUCCUUCCCUCAACACUCUGAAAGCAUUCAUUCUAUAGUCGAGAGCAUUGACAGUAAUAGCCCCCAUUUUUAAACUACUAAAUAUCUUAUGAUUUUGAAAAAUAGGUAUUAUACAUUAUCUAUCACCUUUUGUUGAUGAUAUGAGGUGUCAGAGAAAUGUAAUGAUCCUGAUCAUUAUUAUUAUGAAUAUUAUCUUCAGUUUAAAAGAGGGUAUAGGCCAUAAAGUAAUAAUGAUUUUAAAAGGUACAGUAUAGUGUAGCAAGGAAAAAACUAAAAUAUCAUUACAAGUGAUUAUUCAAGUUAUGUAAUUUCAUGUUGUCAAGUUCACUUGUGGAAACAGUUGUUUGCAAAUAUUGAUUGAGCUGAUGAUGUCACAUUCAUACCUUUAAUUAAUAUCCCCACCAAACAUAGUUUGAAGGGGGUAUAAAGGAAUCAGUGUGAUGUCAGUCGGUCCGUUGCAAAAUCUUGCAUUGCAAACUCUGUCUACAAUCUUUAAUUUUAAUGACACAUAGGGUAAAUGAUAGCAUUGAGGUGUAGAUGUGCAA
This is a long non-coding RNA of Lytechinus variegatus (green sea urchin), 1507 nucleotides long. RefSeq lists it as uncharacterized. NCBI's taxonomy places the organism in Eukaryota, Metazoa, Echinodermata, Echinoidea, Temnopleuroida, Toxopneustidae. The record is from RefSeq and is a predicted model, not a curated record. The transcript has 2 exons.